CGUUGCAUCCAGAAUAACUAUCCAACUACAUCUAGAAUAACUUUUGUAUCGCAGCACAUUUUGCAUGUCAUCUUGAAUCCGUUGUUGAAAUGGUAACGAUCCGCCCAAAACUAAACGGAUAUCUGUGUGCAUAGAUAGCACUUCAAAGGUAGCGGCGAACUUUAACCUGAUGACGCAUUGUUUAAUGUCAAAAAUCGGAUUCUAUAUGGUCCACAUUCUAGAAUUGUAUAGAAAUUGUUCCAUCUGCGAUUAUCGGAACCGCCCGUCAUGACAAAGAAGUGCUGCUAACGUUCCUAUCAGGCGACAAUCGAUACCCCCGAAAAUGCGCUACAGAUUGCCAACCGUCCGGACAUUACCAUUAAUUACAUUUUAGCUGACCAGCACAACUCUGAAAUCGUUUCCUGUUGCGAAGGAGUUACCAGCCGAUACUGCUAAUGCAUC
Topomyia yanbarensis is the source of this 441-nucleotide long non-coding RNA. RefSeq lists it as uncharacterized. Lineage: Eukaryota; Metazoa; Arthropoda; Insecta; Diptera; Culicidae. The transcript is spliced from 3 exons. The record is from RefSeq and is a predicted model, not a curated record.